UCAUCUAAAACAAUCAAAAUCUUCACAUGCACAUGUCAUCACAAGGACUUUUUUCAAGGCUUGUGUUGUGGCUGGGCUAUCAAGAAAAAUUGGUUUUUCUGGAAUACAAAAUCCUUGAGUUGAGAGAGUUUAAAUUAUCAUUUAAAUUUCAAGCACACUCUCUUUUUAACCAAUCUCACUUAUUCCCAACUUUUUCCCUUUUUCCUUUUUACAUUGAGUUCACUUUACAUGAUUUUUCUCUUUUCUUCUUUUCUAUUCUGUCUCAUGCAUCUUUCUUUUUCAUCUUUUGAACUCAAUGCUUUUGCUUUUGCCUUUUACUUUCCCCAUACAACCCCAAACUUGAACCUUUUAAACACAUACAUUUAUUCUCAACCCUGAC
RNAcentral lists this long non-coding RNA (379 nucleotides) under Vigna radiata. RNAcentral describes it as "long non-coding RNA (VRAD_LNC015889)". Lineage: Eukaryota; Viridiplantae; Streptophyta; Magnoliopsida; Fabales; Fabaceae. The record is from RNAcentral.